This 497-nucleotide ribosomal RNA is filed under the name uncultured bacterium. RNAcentral's name for it is "partial 16S ribosomal RNA". It matches the Rfam family "Bacterial small subunit ribosomal RNA", at positions 28 to 507 of the family's 1533-position model. The record is from RNAcentral.
GAUGAACGCUGGCGGCGUGCCUAAUACAUGCAAGUCGAGCGAACAGACGAGGAGCUUGCUCCUCUGACGUUAGCGGCGGACGGGUGAGUAACACGUGGAUAACCUACCUAUAAGACUGGGAUAACUUCGGGAAACCGGAGCUAAUACCGGAUAAUAUAUUGAACCGCAUGGUUCAAUAGUGAAAGACGGUUUUGCUGUCACUUCUAGAUGGAUCCGCGCCGCAUUAGCUAGUUGGUAAGGUAACGGCUUACCAAGGCGACGAUGCGUAGCCGACCUGAGAGGGUGAUCGGCCACCCUGGAACUGAGACACGGUCCAGACUCCUACGGGAGGCAGCAGUAGGGAAUCUUCCGCAAUGGGCGAAAGCCUGACGGAGCAACGCCGCGUGAGUGAUGAAGGUCUUCGGAUCGUAAAACUCUGUUAUUAGGGAAGAACAAAUUUGUAAGUAACUAUGCACGUCUUGACGGUACCUAAUCAGAAAGCCACGGCUAACUACGUG